Molecule: non-coding RNA, 112 nt
Organism: Acanthosepion pharaonis
Lineage: Eukaryota; Metazoa; Mollusca; Cephalopoda; Sepiida; Sepiidae
Source: the annotation of a GenBank genome assembly
UUACGGCCACAUCACGUCGAAACACCGGUUCCCCUACGAUCACCGAAGUUAAGCAAUUUCGAGUUUGGUCAGUAUCUAGAUGGGUGACCGCUUGGGGAUAUCAGAUUCUGUA